RNAcentral lists this long non-coding RNA (102 nucleotides) under Canis lupus familiaris (dog). RNAcentral describes it as "lncRNA (ENSCAFG00040011976.1)". Lineage: Eukaryota; Metazoa; Chordata; Mammalia; Carnivora; Canidae. The record is from RNAcentral.
CAGGCCAGCUGAACACUGAGCAGCCCCCUCAGACUUACAGAAGGUAAGGAACAAAUCUCAAGGCAAGGAAGGAGCAGCUCCGGGAAGGAAAGAGACAGGUAA